This 201-nucleotide unclassified non-coding RNA is filed under the name Hevea brasiliensis (rubber tree). The record is from RNAcentral. Lineage: Eukaryota; Viridiplantae; Streptophyta; Magnoliopsida; Malpighiales; Euphorbiaceae.
UUUUGAUGUAAGCAAGCUUCAGAAGCUUAGAAGUAAAGGUGAAAAGAAAACUGAUACUGUUGUUAACAAGGGUUCCAAGGUGCACCCAAAGAAAAAGAUAACAAAAAAGAAUAGGGUUUGGGACGAUUCACCUCAAGAGUCGAAAUUGGAUUUUACAGAUCCUCUGGAGGAGAACGUGAAUGAGAAUAUAGAGGUUGUGGG